RNAcentral lists this ribosomal RNA (254 nucleotides) under uncultured bacterium. RNAcentral's name for it is "partial 16S ribosomal RNA". It matches the Rfam family "Bacterial small subunit ribosomal RNA", at positions 524 to 776 of the family's 1533-position model. The record is from RNAcentral.
UACGUAGGGUCCAAGCGUUGUCCGGAUUUAUUGGGCGUAAAGAGUUCGUAGGCGGCUCAGCAAGUCGGAUGUGAAAACUCCAGGCUCAACCUGGAGACGCCAUUCGAUACUGCUGUGGCUUGAGUCUGGAAGGGGAGCACGGAAUUCCUGGUGUAGCGGUGAAAUGCGCAGAUAUCAGGAGGAACACCGGUGGCGAAGGCGGUGCUCUGGGCCAGUACUGACGCUGAGGGACGAAAGCGUGGGGAGCCAACAGG